UUAUUUUGGCAGAUUAGUGCAAUGAAUUUAGAAUUCAUAUAUGAUUUUAUUUCAAAUAAUA
This 61-nucleotide transfer RNA is filed under the name Nebria tibialis. RNAcentral describes it as "tRNA-Leu". The record is from RNAcentral. Lineage: Eukaryota; Metazoa; Arthropoda; Insecta; Coleoptera; Carabidae.